CUUCUUUCAGAGAAUGAUACAAGUCAUUAGUUGAGGAUUCAGGAGGUUUAUUUCUAGGACCCUGUGCAUUGGCUCAGAGGCCCUUAUUGUUCCAAAAUUUUAUUUUAAAACUAAUUUAAUGUUUAUUGUUUUGAUCUAAAGGUCAUUUAUUUUUUCAGUGGUCAGCAAAGUGAAAGACUCCUUCAAAGGCUGGUCUAGGGCAAGUCUACAGGAGCAGUUUCACCAUCAGUUUCGGCUGUCCCACAUCUUUGCAGUAAGUUCUGGCUAACCACAAGGCCUUCUGAGUGCUGGUGCUUUGUCACAGAGGAUAGCUGUCUGUUUUCCUAACACUGCAGUCUUAGAUUAGCUUAAAGUCCCAAGACGUUUUCUUCUCAAUCUGUUCCCUUGUUGUGCUGGCCCCAAGCAUCUCUUCAUGGCCACUGAGUAAAUCAGAUCAAAGUACUGAGCCAGCUGAAAAAUAUCCUGCUCACACAAAAAAAGAAAGAAAAAAAGGAGGAGAAGGAGAAGGAGAAGGAGAAGGAGAAGGAGAAGGAGAAGGAGAAGGAGAAGGAGAAGGAGAAGGAGAAGGAGAAGGAGAAGGAGAAGGAGAAGGAGAAGGAGAAGGAAAAGGAAAGAAAAAGAAAAAGAAAAAGAAAAAGAAAAAGAAAAAGAAAAAGAA
This 658-nucleotide long non-coding RNA is filed under the name Cyanistes caeruleus (blue tit). RNAcentral describes it as "lncRNA (ENSCCEG00000018615.1)". The record is from RNAcentral. Lineage: Eukaryota; Metazoa; Chordata; Aves; Passeriformes; Paridae.